CUACGGGAGGCUCCAGUGGGGAAUAUUGGACAAUGGGGGAAACCCUGAUCCAGCAAUGCCGCGUGUGUGAAGAAGGCCUGCGGGUUGUAAAGCACUUUCGGUUGGGAGGACUGCUUCUAGCACUAAUAUUGUUGGAAGUUGACGUUACCUUCAGAAGAAGCACCGGCUAGCUCCGUGCCAGCAGCCGCGGUGAAUACGGAGGGUGCAAGCGUUAAUCGGAAUUACUGGGCGUAAAGCGCGCGUAGGCGGCUAGAUCAGUCGGGUGUGAAAGCCCCGGGCUUAACCUGGGAACUGCAUCCGAUACUGUCUAGCUUGAGUACAGGAGAGGAGAGUGGAAUUCCACAUGUAGCGGUGAAAUGCGUAGAUAUGUGGAGGAACACCAAUGGCGAAGGCAGCUCUCUGGCCUGAUACUGACGCUGAGGUGCGAAAGCGUGGGGAGCAAACAGGAUUAGAUACCCCAGUAGUC
RNAcentral lists this ribosomal RNA (466 nucleotides) under uncultured bacterium. RNAcentral describes it as "partial 16S ribosomal RNA". It matches the Rfam family "Bacterial small subunit ribosomal RNA", at positions 339 to 795 of the family's 1533-position model. The record is from RNAcentral.